GAUGAACGCUGGCGGCAUGCCUAAGACAUGCAAGUCGUACGCGAAGGCCUAAUGAUUAUUGCGGAAGAUUGGAGAGCUCGCUCAAAGAUUGGAAGCAAUAUGAUUUAGAUUACCUUCGAGUGGCAAACGGGUGAGUAACACGUGGGUUACCUGCCUCUAGGUUGGGGAUAACGGUUGGAAACGAUCGAUAAUACCGAAUAUACUCUACGGAGCAAAGAAGCCUUUAAAGCUUCGCCAAGAGAUGGGCCUGCGGCGUAUUAGCUAGUUGGUGGGGUAAUGGCCUACCAAGGCAACGAUACGUAGCCGAACUGAGAGGUUAAUCGGCCACACUGGGACUGAGACACGGCCCAGACUCCUACGGGAGACAGCAGUUAGGAAUAAUUCGUCAAUGGGGGAAACCCUGAACGAGCAAUG
This 414-nucleotide ribosomal RNA is filed under the name uncultured bacterium. Its description in RNAcentral is "bacterial SSU rRNA". It matches the Rfam family "Bacterial small subunit ribosomal RNA", at positions 28 to 396 of the family's 1533-position model. The record is from RNAcentral.